Non-coding RNA from Potamilus streckersoni, 73 nucleotides. Lineage: Eukaryota; Metazoa; Mollusca; Bivalvia; Unionida; Unionidae. The record is from the annotation of a GenBank genome assembly.
GCUUCGGUGUUCUAGUGGUUAGAGCGUCCACCUUGGAUGCGUGAGGUCAUGGGUUCAAUCCCAGGUCGAGUCA